CGUGAUCUCGGCUCAUUGCAACCUCCGCCUCCUGGGUUCAAGCAAUUCUCCUGCCUCAGCCUCCUGAGUAGCUGGGAUUACAGGCGCCCGCCACCACUCCCAGCUAAUUUUUGUAUUUUUAGUAGGGACGAGGUUUCACCAUGUUGGUCAGGCUGGUCUCAAACUCCUGACCUCGUGAUCUGCCCUCCUUGGCCUUCCAAAGUGCUGGGAUUACAGGCGUGAUGGAGAUGAUACUCCCUAAAUCACAAGGGUGUGGUGUGAAGAUGAAAUGGCUGCACGUGACAGAGGAGUUGGAGAACAGGAAGCAAGUGGAUUACUUGGAUGAACUGUGAUGGGCCCAAGAAGAACUAAGCCAAUCACUCCAGGGGGCGUUUUCCCAGGAUCCAGGCAGAGAGCUGAUUCCAGCAUCCACGUUGUAUCCCCCUCCCGCUGUGGCCGGGGUCUCCAAGAGCCGGGCACCCACUGCAGAGCUUCCAAGCCCAGGCCCAUUUGAACACAGGAGGACUUUUGAGGUUCAUUUAACCCCAAAAUCAGUGAUUCUACAUCUCAAGCUCAUAUUUUGAAGUGUUUACGGACCAGGGAUUUGCCAAUUAUUCUGGAUGGGCACAGGGAAGGGGCCCUCAGAUCCUGCAGAGGGAGCAUCUGAAAGACAAUGAGACCCUGUACACAACCAAGCUGAGCCUCCUGUAAGCACAUCCUCUGGGUGUCACUAUGCGAAAAGACUCUUUGUCUGUUUACAUUGCACAACGAAUUGUCCCUCUGAUUGUCCUAGCGUUGGUGCAUGCAUGGAUCCAGGAAGAGCAGGUAUUUGGACCCAACGAGACAGGUUCAUCUUGGCAGUUUGUCUCCUGUGGUUGCUUUGUGCCUGCCCCGUAUCUAUCCACCCAACUUCUGGCAGCAAUCCCUCCAGGACCCACCUCUGUCUUCAUGGUUUGUGUGUUCUGAUCCUGCUCCUUGGCCCCAGAAUACACCCUCCACAUCUAAGCUAUGCAGUGCCUCAUCCCCACAGCUGCAGCGAUUGGUUUAGGAAUGGGAAAAUAAUCCAAUCAAAGUAAGAUUGUCUAAUAUCUGAUCCCGCUUACCCCGGAGCCAGAAGUCCCACCUUUCCAGGCUCCUCCAUGUUCCUUUCUGGAGCAAUGAGGAGGAAGGUUCAUUCCCUUCUCAGGGAACUUGCUGCGGUGUCCCAGUCCUGACUGUCCCCUCUCUACCCCUGCCUGUGGCUCUCCCGUCUCCUGGCAUUCUAACCUGCCACUGAAUUCUUCCCACGCCAAACGCAGGUUAGGAACCUAAGCUCGGAUGAAAUGCUGGCUUAGACCUCAUUGCUACUGAGAAGCAGAAACCACACUUUUUAGUUGGUAGAGGUGGAUGUGGAUUGGGGCCAUAAAGUUUCCUCAAUCAUUGAAUAAGGAUUUCAUUAUUUGGACUAACUAAAUACAUUAGAUUAUUUAUACUAACUAAAUAAAUUAGAUUUAUUUUUCGAAGUUUAAAAUCAUUUUCAAUAGUGACGAAAAAGGCUGUAGAUGAGAUGGGAGAAUCUUUCGACGCCAAAUUCUUCCCAUCUCCUGCCUAGUAUGUAUCACUACACCUUGCCCAGAGAGACUGUAGGGGUGCUCAGCAAAAACCAUGGCUGGUUGAUUCCCUGGAAAAAGGGGUGCUGUCCCAGGGAGCUCUGUGCCCUUCCUGCCAACACUGGGGUCUAGAGGAGGCAAGUUCCCCUCUGAAGCUGCCUUUGUGAUCCCGCGCCCCGGUCCUCGGCCUCUCACCUCCAGCGCCGGGGCGCCCCCUGCUGUCGGAAGCGGCUGUGACCGGGCAGAGGUGCUAUCUGGGACUCUGGGUUCUCAGCCCGGGGACAGCGAACCGAGGGGCAGAUGAUCCAUCAGAAAAGAGCCGGCACUGCCCAGCCCCGCGCCCCUGCCCCUGCCUUUUUCCGGGAGCGCGCCGCGCCGCACCCGCUACGGCCGCUUGACCCCAUCUUUGAGCCCGGCCCCAAGCUCUGGGACCGUCGUGCCCCUCAUCAAGGAAGAGCCAAGGACCCCAAGGAGAAGAGAAAGGAGUUCAUGAAGGCAGAAAUGCCUGGGGCCCACGAACAUCCCAGUGUGGCCCUGGACGGGACAUCAUGCUGGGCAACACAGCUAAAAUGCGGGUGAAGACCAGAUUUCUUGCACAUGGCGGUGACGGGAUGCUCCCUAGAGAGCUUCAAGUGGAUUCUUUGCUUUUUAUUUUCUCUCUUAAUAAAAAUGUAUGAUGUUUACAUUGUCAGAGAACAAACAGAA
RNAcentral lists this long non-coding RNA (2273 nucleotides) under Homo sapiens (human). Its description in RNAcentral is "non-protein coding LINC00926:11". The record is from RNAcentral. Lineage: Eukaryota; Metazoa; Chordata; Mammalia; Primates; Hominidae.